UGACGGUACCCUACUAGAAAGGAGCCGCUAACUUCGUGCCAGAAGCGUCGGUAAUACGGGGGCUCCAAGCGUUAUCCGGUGUUAUUGGGCGUAAAGAGUCGUGUAGGUGGUUGGGUAAGUUAUCUUUCAAAUAUCUUUGCUUAACAAAGAGGAGGGGGAUAAUACUGCUCGACUAGAAUUUUCUCAAGGGAGAUCGGAACUGAGGGAGGAGUAGUGAAAUGCGUUGAUACCCUCGGGAACACCAGUGGCGUAGGCGGAUCUCUGGGAGAAGAUUGACACUGAGACACGAAAGCUAGGGGAGCGAAGCAGAUUAGAGACCUGCGUAGUCCUAGCCGUAAACGCAUGCUUGCUAGCUGCAUGAAUCUACCUUCGGGUGGUAUCGCGUGGCGAAGGUAACCCGUUAAGCAAGCCGCCUGGAAAGUACGGCCGCAAGGCUGAAAUUCAAAGGAAUUGGCGGGGAGGCACACAACCAGUGGAACAUGUGGUUUAAUUCGAGACUAACCGAAGAACCUCACCAGGGUUUGACAUGUAGCUGCACGUCUUAAGAAAUUAAGACUCUCUUGAAGGUGCUACACAGGUGCUGCAUGGCUGUCGUCAGCUCGUUCCGUGAGGAGUGCCCUUAAGUGGGACAACGAGCGCAACCCCUAUUACAUGUUAGAAAUGUCAUGUAAGACUGCCUUGCCAUUUGGCGGGGAGGAAGGAGGGGCAGACGUCAAGUCCGCAUGGUCCUUAUGCCCUGGGCUACACACAUGUUACAAUGAGUACGGCAAUGAGUCUGUCGCGAGCACGUAAGUGUAAGCUAAUCUCUUAAAUGUAUUCUCAGUGGGGAUUGAGGUCUGCAACUCGACCUCAUGAACACGGAAUUGGUAGUAAUCGCGGGUCAGCUAUACCGCGGUGAUACGUUCUUGCCUCUUGCACACACCGCCCGUCAAACCAGCAAAGUCGAUUGUAUCCGAACCU
Molecule: ribosomal RNA, 960 nt
Filed under: uncultured organism
Description: bacterial SSU rRNA
Rfam family: Bacterial small subunit ribosomal RNA
Source: RNAcentral